RNAcentral lists this ribosomal RNA (301 nucleotides) under uncultured bacterium. RNAcentral's name for it is "bacterial SSU rRNA". It matches the Rfam family "Bacterial small subunit ribosomal RNA", at positions 505 to 805 of the family's 1533-position model. The record is from RNAcentral.
GUGCCAGCAGCCGCGGUAAUACGAAGGGUGCAAGCGUUAAUCGGAAUUAUUGGGCGUAAAGCGUGCGCAGGCGGUUUUGUAAGACAGAUGUGAAAUCCCCGGGCUUAACCUGGGAACUGCAUUUGUGACUGCAAGGCUAGAGUACGUCAGAGGGGGGUAGAAUUCCACGUGUAGCAGUGAAAUGCGUAGAUAUGUGGAGGAACACCGAUGGCGAAGGCAAUCCCCUGGGCCUGCACUGACGCUCAUGCACGAAAGCGUGGGGAGCAAACAGGAUUAGAUACCCUGGUAGUCCACGCCCUAA